UGAGCAAUCUGCCCUUCUCAUCGGAAUAAGCGUUGGAAACGACGUCUAAUGCCGAAUACGACCUCCUUUCGCAUGAUCGGAGGUGGAAAGCUCCGGCGGAGAAGGAUGAGCUCGCGGCCUAUCAGCUAGUUGGUGUGGGUAAUGGCCCACCAAGGCGACGACGGGUAGCCGGCCUGAGUGGGUGACCCGGCCACACUGGGACUGAGACACGGCCCAGACCUCCGUACGGGAGCAG
This 235-nucleotide ribosomal RNA is filed under the name uncultured bacterium. RNAcentral describes it as "partial 16S ribosomal RNA". It matches the Rfam family "Bacterial small subunit ribosomal RNA", at positions 118 to 347 of the family's 1533-position model. The record is from RNAcentral.